AACAGGAUUAGAUACCCUGGUAGUCCACCCCGUAAACGUUGGGAACUAGUUGUGGGGACCAUUCCACGGUUUCCGUGACGCAGCUAACGCAUUAAGUUCCCCGCCUGGGGAGUACGGCCGCAAGGCUAAAACUCAAAGGAAUUGACGGGGACCCGCACAAGCGGCGGAGCAUGCGGAUUAAUUCGAUGCAACGCGAAGAACCUUACCAAGGCUUGACAUAUACGAGAACGGGCCAGAAAUGGUCAACUCUUUGAACACUCGUAAACAGGUGGUGCAUGGUUGUCGUCAGCUCGUGUCGUGAGAUGUUGGGUUAAGUCCCGCAACGAGCGCAACCCUCGUUCUAUGUUGCCAGCACGUAAUGGUGGGAACUCAUGGGAUACUGCCGGGGUCAACUCGGAGGAAGGUGGGGAUGACGUCAAAUCAUCAUGCCCCUUAUGUCUUGGGCUUCACGCAUGCUACAAUGGCCGGUACAAAGGGCUGCAAUACCGUAAGGUGGAGCGAAUCCCAAAAAGCCGGUCCCAGUUCGGAUUGAGGUCUGCAACUCGACCUCAUGAAGUCGGAGUCGCUAGUAAUCGCAGAUCAGCAACGCUGCGGUGAAUACGUUCCCGGGUCUUGUACACACCGCCCGUCAAGUCAUGAAAGUCGGUAACACCUGAAGCCGGUGGCCCAACCCUUGUGGAGGGAGCCGUCGAAGGUGGGAUCGGUAAUUAGGACUAAGUCGUAACAAGGUA
Molecule: ribosomal RNA, 731 nt
Filed under: uncultured bacterium
Lineage: Bacteria
Description: bacterial SSU rRNA
Rfam family: Bacterial small subunit ribosomal RNA
Source: RNAcentral